Molecule: non-coding RNA, 596 nt
Organism: Cyanistes caeruleus (blue tit)
Lineage: Eukaryota; Metazoa; Chordata; Aves; Passeriformes; Paridae
Source: RefSeq, a predicted model, not a curated record
UGCCCCCCUGGGUGUCCAUGUCCUUAAUUCCCUCUGGGAGAAUGUGCAAACGACCUCCACAUGCUCCCAAGGGACCCUUGAGAGAUAUUUUGGGAUCCUCAUCCCUUUGGCUGGGACCCCAUUGUGGCUUUCCCUUUUGUCCCCUCCCAGGGUGCCCUGCCAUGUUCACUCCCCGAAGAUGCCACUGUAGUCACUGCUGAGAUUUUCAGUGCUCUCUCCCUGCCGACUCUUGAGAGCCGCCCUGAUCCGUCCCUCGUCUGUCUCCUGCUCACUCUCGGGUACCCAAUCAAUGCCCGGUGCCGCCGCCAGCCGAGGGAGCCGAUCCCCCAAACUGGGUGAGGCCCCUUCAGCUGCACUCACUGCCCGCCGGCCCGGACGGUGGAAGGAAUUGCGGAGGAGCCCCAAGACACAAGAUGCCCAGUGACUUUCUGAGAUGAACUUGGGCAUGGAGGAACCCCCAGCCCAAGACGCUCUCCUCUCCUUUUCCUCCUAACCAGGAAUUUUCAUUCCCAAACUGUGUCCAGAUGGCAGAGGAGGAGAAAAAGCCCCAGAGAUCCUGCAUGAGGAGGGGCUGGAAACCCAGUCCAGGGAGCUGC